UUUUUCAGGCAGCAAGACAAACUUUUGAGACAGGAACAUAUCCUUCAGGUGUUAAUUCAAAACAGUACCACCUAAAAUUCUGUCAGAGCCUUUGGAUCAAGUUUUCUAGAGAUAAAGUUAAUGCUAAAUAACUUUUUAAUAUCAAGCACCUGUUCUCAUUUAGUAAUUAAGUAGUUCACGGCUGGUUAUUUGAUAGUAAUUAUGACCUGAAUUUGAGCCUUCCUAGUUCUUCUGCUUCUCAAGUAUUAACACAGGUAAAAUCUUGUGCGAGUAUCCUGUAAGUGGCUAAACUGGUCUCUACAACAAAAGCAUAAGCUUUCUAUGCUUUGCAUGUCUGUAGAGAACAGUGAUAUAAGUUGGUAGCAAUAAAUAUUUAAAGUAAAAAGCAGAGAGAUGUAUUUGACUGGAUAACCGAAGUGGUAAAUGAAGAUUUCUUUACUGUUCUAGAUCAGCAGCCCUUGGAGGCUUAAGUUAGGUUACAUUUCGUAAGAACUUAAGCAGACCAAAGUCACCCCUAGUCCUACCUUUGCAUGAUUCCACCUUUUCCUAAGCUUUAGUGAUGCCAGUUUAGGCUGACAUUACGUUAAGACUGCUCUGGGGGAGUGAUACUGCAAAGAGACUAGGCUCAUCCCCAUUAAGCUCUGCAGUGAAAGACAGGAUUAAAUACUUCCCCCCUCUGUUGUUCUGGUGUGAAACUUAGUUUGUUUAGAUGUCUGUCUGCUCUAUGGCUUGAUCUCUGAUUCUGAGUGCACUUGUAGGCUCCAAUAUGACAUUUCUAAACUGACUAGAAAUAGUAAAAAAAAAAUCUCAGCCCUUCAAAAUUUCUCAAGUUUGUGGAAUUAGUUUUGUCAUCUUCUCCUCAGCCUUGCUGGUGGAAGCUGGUUUGGCCUUCAUGUAAUUUUUGAAUGCUUGAAGUGGAAGUGCUAUUUUAGGUAUAGCUUAGAAGACAUGCCAAAGUCCAGUGAAACUGAAUUCUGCUGUCAUUAAAUAGUAAAAAUGUCAUUCUUGGACAAGUUUUCAAUGUCUUUCAAAAUAAUGCAGGUGGUACAAAAUAACACACAACAUCCAUUCAGUUCAAGAUGGGAACAAAGUUCAGAUUUUCUGAGUCAGAACCAAAUACCAGCUCCUCUGCUUCUUUUUCAGAAAUACACGUCAUGAAUUUGAAUCCAAGUUCCAUUUCUCACAUCAAAAAAUUGCAUGCAAUUUUAAAUGGUUUAAGGUGCCAGGUGAGGUCACUGCUGGAGACCAGCACCCCUACAACAAAGUUCAAACAGAGACUGAAGAUCUAAGCUUGGGAGGACUUCCUGGACCUGUGGUUAGAGGAUGUGGCUGGAAGCCACAGGUGAAGUUGGUGAGGGCCGUUAAGUACCCUCAGGGCUCUGACACAAGGCAGGAGACGUUUACUAAUUGUUGAUCAAUGGAGCUCCCUAGAAACAACUUGUGUCAAAUGACAGAGUUCUUGCUUUAAUCUUGUGAUAUUAUUAUCACACAUACAGUGGGGUAGGUGGGGAGAAUUAAAAUACCGGAGGGACGGCUUACGGUUAAACCAACAGCAUGAUUUAACAGUCUCUCUUUAUUUUCAGAUUUUUGAUUGCAAAUUCCAUAAUUUUUUAGGUUAAAAGAUUUGUAGAAUAUGAUUAGAAGUUGACUAGUGGACGUUAUAGCUCUUGGACUCUAUACGUAGUUUAUUUUCCUAGCUAGCUCUAUAGUGAUAUAAAGCUUAAAUGUUGUUAGAAAUAGCCAAAAUAAACUUUAAUUCUAAAGCUCUACUACUUUUAAUUGAUAAACGCUAAAAUGAAGAUGUGUAUUAAGGUCUGAUACAGCAUUUCUUGCAGAAAUUGCAUUGCAUGCUGAUAAGAAAGGUUGGUACCUACUGAAGAGUUUAAUGUGCCCAAAGCUUCAGCAGGAUCAUGUGACAUAAGCGGAAACCAAAUUUGAGCAUUACAUCAUAAGAAUCGUCUGUCAUAGUCUCACCUAUACUGAGGCCUAUUACUAUUUCUAGCAGCUUCUAAGAGCUCCCUUCUCCAAAUUAACCUUUAUAGCUUCCUAGUAAGAGUUAAUUUCUGCUCUUACCUGUACUACUAACUUGUUUUUUUAGAAAUGUAACAAAGUCUCUGCAGCUGACACAAAGCUCUGAAGUUAUAUGACUAGAGAAUAUCCUUUUAUCUUAAUAAAGCAAGUUGGUUUGAGGAUUUUUUUAAAUCAUUUUUAUUUUCUUCUCCUGGAAUCUAGCACAAGAAGAUAUGGACAGUAAUCAUUGCCAGUCCUAGUGAGAACUGGAAGAAUAAUUUCUGUCCCACAAGUAAAAAUAUUCUUAAUUUGGUUCAUACAAGAACAGCUAUGCAACUUAAUAUUCCAGUUGUUGUGACAACGUAGAGUUGCUUUACUGGCUACAGCAGAAGUACCUCAUCCUCCUGGAAAGCACUCCAUAUUUCAAAUUACAUAGCUUCAGGAUGGACACAAGAAUUGCAUAGGCGAGUUUUGAUUUGAAGUGUAGUCUGCUUGCUCUCAAUUUUAUUUUAUUUUUUUAGGUAUACUUUUCAUUUGGAAAGCAGCUGUCAUUGCUGGACAUUGCAUAGACAAGUGCUGUUCAUAUGAAAAACACUUGAGACAGAGAGCCAAAUGCUUGUAUUUAGGUGCCUGCAGUUACAGAACUAGCUUUUGAGGUCAAUAAAAGUGGGAUGUGCCCAUUCUGCCACAUCUGAAAAUAAAGCACUUCAGUGCCCAAUUUAAGGCACUAUGUUUGA
Molecule: long non-coding RNA, 2747 nt
Organism: Falco peregrinus (peregrine falcon)
Lineage: Eukaryota; Metazoa; Chordata; Aves; Falconiformes; Falconidae
Exons: 2
Source: RefSeq, a predicted model, not a curated record